This 621-nucleotide ribosomal RNA is filed under the name uncultured Tomentella. RNAcentral's name for it is "eukaryotic LSU rRNA". The stretch from base 137 to 267 matches the Rfam family "5.8S ribosomal RNA". The record is from RNAcentral. Lineage: Eukaryota; Fungi; Basidiomycota; Agaricomycetes; Thelephorales; Thelephoraceae.
CGGGGGCAUGUGCACACUCGUUACACAUCCCUCACACCUGUGCACCCUCUGAUUCUAUGGCCUGGGGGGGCUCUGUCCUCCUGUGGUUCUACUCUUUCCUGUAAGUCUUAUGGAAUGUGUCGCGUUAACGCAAUGAUACACUUCCAACGGAUCUCUUGGCUCUCGCAUCAUGAAAACGCAAAAUGCAGGCGUGAAUUGCAAAUUAUGAAUCAUCAAUCUUUGAACGCACCUUGCCCUUGGCUAUUCCAAGGUGCCUGUUUGAUAUCAUGAAUCCUCAACACGGCUUGCCUGUGAUGACUUGGACUUUGGGGGUCUUGCUGGCCUGUGGUCCUCCUCGCAAAUAAAUAUGUGGUGUUGGUGGGGUCAAGGUGUGAUAACUAUCUACGCUUGCUUUCCCCGGGGUAACCUUCAGGAGUUCACCGGACUUACAAUGUCUCUCCUCAUGAAACGAUUUUGACCGUUUGAUCUCAAUCACGAGACUCCCGCUGAACUUACAUAUCAAUAACGGAGAAGAAACUAACAAGAUUCCCCUAUAACUGCAUGAGCGGAAGAGCUCCAUUUAAAAUCUGGCGUGCCUCUGGUCCAUUUAUCUGGACAAGCUUUUCCGUGCGACUACAAUCG